RNAcentral lists this ribosomal RNA (428 nucleotides) under bacterium. Its description in RNAcentral is "partial 16S ribosomal RNA". It matches the Rfam family "Bacterial small subunit ribosomal RNA", at positions 355 to 776 of the family's 1533-position model. The record is from RNAcentral.
UUUCGAAUCAUUCACAAUGGGCGCAAGCCUGAUGGUGCGACGCCGCGUGAGGGAUGAAGGUCUUCGGAUUGUAAACCUCUGUCACUGGGGAGAAAACGCUUUGAGUUAAUAGUUCAAAGCCUGAUUUAACCCGGAGAGGAAGCAGUGGCUAACUCUGUGCCAGCAGCCGCGGUAAUACAGAGACUGCAAGCGUUAUUCGGAUUCACUGGGCGUAAAGGGUGCGCAGGCGGCCGUGUGUGUAAGGUGUGAAAUCCCGGGGCUCAACCCCGGAACUGCGCCUUAAACUACAUGGCUAGAGUAUUGGAGAGGGUAGUGGAAUUCACGGUGUAGCAGUGAAAUGCGUAGAUAUCGUGAGGAACACCAGAGGCGAAGGCGACUACCUGGACAAUUACUGACGCUCAGGCACGAAAGCGUGGGGAGCAAAAGGG